RNAcentral lists this ribosomal RNA (900 nucleotides) under uncultured bacterium. Its description in RNAcentral is "bacterial SSU rRNA". It matches the Rfam family "Bacterial small subunit ribosomal RNA", at positions 16 to 917 of the family's 1533-position model. The record is from RNAcentral.
AUCCUGGCUCAGGAUGAACGCUGGCGGCGUGCUUAACACAUGCAAGUCGAACGGGAAACCUUUUAUUGAAGCUUCGGCGGAUUUAGAUUGUUUCUAGUGGCGGACGGGUGAGUAACGCGUGGGUAACCUGCCUUAUACAGGGGGAUAACAGUCAGAAAUGGCUGCUAAUACCGCAUAAGCGCACAGGACCGCAUGGUCCAGUGUGAAAAACUCCGGUGGUAUUAGAUGGACCCGCGUUGGAUUAGCUUGUUGGCAGGGUAACGGCCUACCAAGGCGACGAUCCAUAGCCGGCCUGAGAGGGUGAACGGCCACAUUGGGACUGAGACACGGCCCAGACUCCUACGGGAGGCAGCAGUGGGGAAUAUUGCACAAUGGGGGAAACCCUGAUGCAGCGACGCCGCGUGAAGGAAGAAGUAUCUCGGUAUGUAAACUUCUAUCAGCAGGGAAGAGAUUGACGGUACCUGACUAGGAAGCCCCGGCUAACUACGUGCCAGCAGCCGCGGUAAUACGUAGGGGGCAAGCGUUAUCCGGAUUUACUGGGUGUAAAGGGAGCGUAGACGGAUGGACAAGUCUGAUGUGAAAGGCUGGGGCUCAACCCCGGGACUGCAUUGGAAACUGCCCGUCUUGAGUGCCGGAGAGGUAAGCGGAAUUCCUAGUGUAGCGGUGAAAUGCGUAGAUAUUAGGAGGAACACCAGUGGCGAAGGCGGCUUACUGGACGGUAACUGACGUUGAGGCUCGAAAGCGUGGGGAGCAAACAGGAUUAGAUACCCUGGUAGUCCACGCGGUAAACGAUGAAUGCUAGGUGUCGGGGAGCAAAGCUCUUCGGUGCCGCCGCAAACGCAUUAAGCAUUCCACCUGGGGAGUACGUUCGCAAGAAUGAAACUCAAAUGAAUUGACGGA